Pezoporus occidentalis (night parrot) is the source of this 4178-nucleotide long non-coding RNA. RefSeq lists it as uncharacterized. NCBI's taxonomy places the organism in Eukaryota, Metazoa, Chordata, Aves, Psittaciformes, Psittacidae. The record is from RefSeq and is a predicted model, not a curated record. The transcript has 2 exons.
UGAAUGUAUUGCUCACAGCAAUCAAUUGUACUGGUUGAAUAAAUUCUUUAUUUCAGAUCUAGCUUUGAUGAAUGGCUCUGCCUAAUGCACAGAAGAGUCAAAAGCAAUAUACUGGAUCUUGAAGCCAUAUUCUGUCCUCUGAGGUGCUACAGUGACUUCAUCCCAUCGAAUCUACAUAUGGAAGAGGAAAAAGUAGCCAGUAGUCUGCCCAUAGCAGCGUGGUCCUAUUGAAAGAAAAGGUCAUUUGUGUUGGUGUGCACUUUGGGGUAAGACAAGCACCCGUGGAAGUUAUGAAGAUGAGUUACUUUCUUUCAUCUCAUUUUUAAUUUAUCUUUUCAGGAAAGAGUUCUAUAUCUUGUAAAGUGCUACUCUGCCAGUAGCUCUGCAGCAAGCUUCAUCACUUCAGAUUGCAUCUGAGACCAUGGACCACUCCAUAUCUUGCAGGCUGUUAUGUGAAUCUGUGACAUUCACUUAGAAACAGGAGCAAAAUCUUCAACAAAGGAAGAAGUGUCCUGUCAGCAGUCAAACUCCUCACAUAAGUUAUGAAGAUGACUCCCAUAUGCUUUCAUGUUGAGCUUUGUGGAGGUAGCAUUUCCAGGACAGACUCUGCAACCAGAGGAUUCAAAACUGAUUUCAUUUAUUAAGGCUGAAAAUAAAUCAGUGAAGUCCUUGGGUAAGAACAUGCAGUUCUGAUUGCUGGUGCUUCAUGUAAAAUGUCAAAUUCUACUACUCACAGCAAAAUUGCUCUUUUUUUCCAUGCUUAUUUUGAGCCUGUAUGUGGUGAGCUGCCUGCAUGUUGUCCCUCAGCACGUGGUGUGACUCCAGCCUGUGUCCACAACAGCGGGUGUCCCCUGGAAGGGAGGAAAAGAGGGAAUUACAUAUGGUAAAACAGCCCUACCUGGGAGAGGGACUAGAGAAAUGCUAAUUAUUCUGCCUGUCCUGGAAACGAUGGGAAGUCUGGUCCCUGUUGAAAACCUUUGCUGUAAACUCUGCUUUAGCACCAGCCAAAUCUCUGCUUGUAUUGAAAAAUCCUUCUGAUUUGCUGUCCUGCAGGGCUGACAUGCUUACUGUAACAAAACAAAUCUGUGCUGCACUGUGUGUUUGUCCCCAAGUAAUAGUGGGGGGAGAGGGGAGAACCAAAGAGGCUGAGUCAUUUGUCUUCUUUCCCUGUCUUGGUAAUGAAAUAUUGCUGUUAAACUCUGCCCUGCCUUUCCUGUUACUAAUUUAUUUUUUUUUUCUUUUUUCCAAUGGUUACCUUUUAAAAGGUUUGUAAAAUUGCAUUACUGAAAUUUAUGACUGUGUAGCAAUAUGUGCCCAUGCAUUAAUUCUCUUCAAGGCCAACGUCUUGUAGCUGCAAAAUUAAUGUUAUGGCGCAGCUUCUCGCAUGGCUAAUGGCUGUUCAAUAAUGUAGGGCUCACAUUUUGCUCAGCUUAUGGCACUUAAUUCCUUGAAAUAAUUCUGCCUGGAAGAGUUUGCCAGGUAAUGGUUAAAAAAAGGCACGUGCAGAACACGCGGAUAUGUAUUUUAAUGCAUUUUUGUUUAUGCAAUUAGAGGCUUGAAAAUCUUGGCCUUGUGAAUUGGUUCAGUUGGCUUUCAACUUCUUUGAAUGGCAUUUAGUUGAAAGGUUCAAAACCAGAUGUGUCUGAAUGCAGUGGACUAAAAAUGUGCCCCUUAAUCAUGACUGGUCUGGAGAGGCUGAAUUUGAUGUUGGUGUUACCCUGGGAGUUACACCCUGUGCUCUUUGGAAUGAGUGAACAAUAGCAGUUCAGUAAAUUAUGAAUUAAUUGAUGUUAUCUAUGUUUAGAUUUACAUUUUCUUACUAAGCAAAAAGAAAAAAGCCACUUUCUACUAGAAGGGUGGAUUAGUAUUUGUAGCCUCUUUACCAACUGAAAUGUGAUAUUCCAGGUUAAAGACAGAUAUAACAAUGCAAAGCAGAUAACCUGACGAGGGUUUGCUUGUAUUCUGGUUGAAAAGAAGAGGUUGGAGGAAUAUUUUGAAAGUGCCGAGACAGGAAUUUAGAUGGUGUCUGACAGUGCUUGUUUUCUUCUUCAAAGCUUUGUCUGACAGCCAGAAGAAAACUCAGUGCUUAUGAUCUACCUUGUACUAUAGACUUGUGUCUGGGAUAUCGUACAUGCAAGAUCAUUGUUCUUAAAGGUAAAACCUUGGGACUCAAAAGGAAUGUAUGAAGUGUUGAGCAGCUGAGAUGUAGUGGAGCUCGAGGGCAGGGGAAUGCCUGGUGAUUAAGUCCAAGUUACACUAUGCAUGAGCCCACUGGUCUCACAGGGUGGCCUCCAACCACACCAGACCCUGGCUUUACAUCAAGUGAUCUCUUGUCAAAGUGCUCAGUGACAGCAGCCUGCAAAGAUGUGGUAGAGAGCAAAAAUAUCCCUGUAUGUAUGGGAGCACCUUUUGUCUCAGGCUUUUGGGGGAACAGUGACAUCUUUUCCUCUCUGCUGGAAGACAUGAGCUGACAAAAGUAAGGCAUCCCUGGGAUGGAGAAACCAGAGCAGGAGGAAAGAUAAUCUCAUGUGAAAGCUCUCAAGGCAUUACUGUAUGUCUUCUGUGUUUUGGAACCAGUCACUUGAUCUCUGCAGGCUUUAGUUUCAUGCCAGUUAUUCACUGUGUCUCCAGGCUUUUUCCUGGAACAGAGCUUUCCCCUUGCUGUGUGGUUGUGAGGUGCUGAGGAAAAGACAUGGGCUGAGACAUCUUACAAGCAUUGUCUUGAUAUUUAUAAUGGCAUUACCAGUAUCAUAAGCAGUUACAGCCAGAUCAGUCAUCAAAUUUGAAUCUCUGUUGGUAAUCAGUGACACAACACCUGGGAGGUAUUUGGCUUAGUCUGUGUAAGAGUUUUGGUAUUAUUGCAGUAAUGAAUGUCACCAGAAAAGCUUUUUGGGGAGUAUAGGAGGAAAGAGAAAAGCAGGGAAAGCAUGAUGCUGUGCUGGGAUCGCAGCAUGGGGAGAGCAGGAUUAGUGCUGCAGGAGAUGGGCAGACAGCGAGCAUCUGCUGUGGGCCACCAGGAUCAGAGCACAGCAGGAAUGAGAAUUCUUGGACCAGUUAUCAAGGAAUUGGGAAACUCCAGGAUACUGUACUCAUGGGGGAUUUUUACUACCCAGACAUCUGCUGGGUAACAAAUGCAGCUCAUCAUGGCGAUAAUGUACAGCCCUAAUUCACUAUAAAUCCUCUCCCAUAUGUUUAGAAUUGUAUUUACAGUAGGAAGAGAAGGAUAGUUAUUCAUGAAUAAAGGUGAACUCAGUUGCUGGUGCAGAGUCAGUCAUAUACUGUGGAAAAUAAUGUACGACAGACUUGAACAGAAUCCCUCUGAAAGCAUGGCUGUAUUUUAGGUAUUUUCAAGUGUUGCUGCAGUUACUGAUUGCUUUUAAAUGCACCGAUUGAACUCCUUAUAUCUCCGUAACUUUUGCUGGCCUAGAAGCAUGAGUUCAGAAGUGGAGCUAAUGAAGAAUUUUCCUCAGGAUGAAAUAUGCCUCCUUGAAACCAAUUCUGCUGAUGAGGAGGUUGAAAAGGUUUAAGACAAAAACUAAGAAAGGAACCAUAAGGGCUGCUUAACUCCCCGGUAGCACAUGAAAGUAUGUUGUUUUAUUGAUAUACUUCUCUGGCCUUUCUUCAGUUGCGGCAAUAAUUUUGCCAUCUAACUCACCGUGGACCUAGAAGAUCACUGUGACCUUAAAUAUAUCUAAUAUUGAGGCAAGAAGGAGAUGUCCCAGCCACCAGAGUUCAGGGCUAAGCACAGUUACUUAUGAAUUAUGGUGCCUUUUCCUGCCGUUCAGCAGUUCCCUGCUCCCUGGCUGUGCUUGGCCCUGUGCUGCCUCAUUGUCAGCAUGAGUUUGUUUCAGUAAGGAUGCUCUAUACUGAGCUCUGGCUUCGGCCACUCAGUGCCCGGGGAUUUGCAUAAUGUCAUUACUGCUUAUUCUUCAAUUACAAUCUUUGAAUAUGCAAAUCUGUCAAUGCUGGUUACUGUAAUCCCUCUGCCCUGGCUGGUCCCCAGCUGGGGAAGUAUUUGAGCUGUUUGCUGGCAACAAGGGUUUUCGUGUUGGUUUCCCAUUUCCAGCUGUGGGUGAAGGGGAAAACCCCUUGAUCAGCUGCCUGAAACAGAUGGAGAGCAAAAAGCAAAGAGAAACUCUGUGAAAUUCAGAAAAAAGAAAUGUCCUUUUUUAAAAGAA